GAUGAACGCUGGCGGCGUGCCUAAUACAUGCAAGUCGAGCGAACAGACGAGGAGCUUGCUCCUCUGACGUUAGCGGCGGACGGGUGAGUAACACGUGGAUAACCUACCUAUAAGACUGGGAUAACUUCGGGAAACCGGAGCUAAUACCGGAUAAUAUAUUGAACCGCAUGGUUCAAUAGUGAAAGACGGUUUUGCUGUCACUUAUAGAUGGAUCCGCGCCGCAUUAGCUAGUUGGUAAGGUAACGGCUUACCAAGGCGACGAUGCGUAGCCGACCUGAGCGCGUGAUCGGCCACACUGGAACUGAGACACGGUCCAGACUCCUACGGGAGGCAGCGGUAGGGAAUCUUCCGCAAUGGGCGAGAGCCUGACGGAGCAACGCCGCGUGAGUGAUGAAGGUCUUCGGAUCGUAAAACUCUGUUAUUAGGGAAGAACAAAUGUGUAAGUAACUAUGCACGUCUUGACGGUACCUAAUCAGAAAGCCACGGCUAACUACGUG
This 497-nucleotide ribosomal RNA is filed under the name uncultured bacterium. Its description in RNAcentral is "partial 16S ribosomal RNA". It matches the Rfam family "Bacterial small subunit ribosomal RNA", at positions 28 to 507 of the family's 1533-position model. The record is from RNAcentral.